ACUCCUACGGGAGGCAGCAGUGGGGAAUUUUGGACAAUGGGGGCAACCCUGAUCCAGCCAUGCCGCGUGCGGGAAGAAGGCCUUCGGGUUGUAAACCGCUUUUGUCAGGGAAGAAAUCCUUUGGGCUAAUACCUCGGAGGGAUGACGGUACCUGAAGAAUAAGCACCGGCUAACUACGUGCCAGCAGCCGCGGUAAUACGUAGGGUGCAAGCGUUAAUCGGAAUUACUGGGCGUAAAGCGUGCGCAGGCGGUUAUGCAAGACAGAUGUGAAAUCCCCGGGCUCAACCUGGGAACUGCAUUUGUGACUGCAUAGCUAGAGUACGGUAGAGGGAGAUGGAAUUCCGCGUGUAGCAGUGAAAUGCGUAGAUAUGCGGAGGAACACCGAUGGCGAAGGCAGUCUCCUGGACCUGUACUGACGCUCAUGCACGAAAGCGUGGGGAGCAAACAGGAUUAGAUACCCU
Molecule: ribosomal RNA, 461 nt
Filed under: uncultured bacterium
Lineage: Bacteria
Description: bacterial SSU rRNA
Rfam family: Bacterial small subunit ribosomal RNA
Source: RNAcentral